UACGUAGGUGACAAGCGUUGUCCGGAUUUACUGGGCGUAAAGAGCGCGCAGGCGGUCGUUCAAGUCGAGUGUGAAAGCCCCCGGCUCAACUGGGGAGGGUCAUUCGAUACUGAUCGACUCGAAGGCAGGAGAGGGUAGUGGAAUUCCCGGUGUAGUGGUGAAAUGCGUAGAUAUCUGGAGGAACACCGGUGGCGAAGGCGGCAUCCUGGACCGGCAUUGACGCUGAACAGCGAAAGCCAGGGGAGCAAACGGG
Molecule: ribosomal RNA, 253 nt
Filed under: uncultured bacterium
Lineage: Bacteria
Description: partial 16S ribosomal RNA
Rfam family: Bacterial small subunit ribosomal RNA
Source: RNAcentral